AAUUGCACGGCCCUCAGCUCUCCGAAGAAGUGUCGCUCAAGCUUCUUUUGCUUUUCUACUGCUUCACGUCGAGUACGUCGUCUUUGAUAUGGGGCUCGGUGGAUUUUCGGGGUAUUUAUAGUCUAGAGAGCAUGUGGUAAAAAUUGGAAGGCGAGGGGGCGAAGGGAACCCCAAGGCUGCCAAUCGGCCUGGGAGGGUCCAGGCCAAUCAGCCUAGGCCUUCCUUUUGCCCUCUCACG
This 238-nucleotide long non-coding RNA is filed under the name Setaria italica (foxtail millet). Its description in RNAcentral is "long non-coding RNA (SITA_LNC006755)". The record is from RNAcentral. Lineage: Eukaryota; Viridiplantae; Streptophyta; Magnoliopsida; Poales; Poaceae.